AUGGCGUCCAAGGUGUCGGCUUCAUGUGGCCUCUUCCUUGCCCUUAACCUCCUCUUGUUUGCAGUAACCAGUGCCUGCCCAAGCUGCGGCGACACGGGCAACAAUGGUGGCCACGGGAGCAGCGGCGGCGGGAGAGGUGGUGGCGGUGGAAGUGGCAGCGGCGGAGGAGGCCAUGGAGGCGGGGGCGGUGGAGGCCGUGGAGGCGGCGGCGGCGGAUAUGGAGGCGGAAGCGGAGGGGGUGGAGGAAGUAGCGGUGGUGGGAUCAUUGGCGGCGGUCCAGGUGGUGGCAUCAUCGGCGGGGGCCCUGGUGGUGGGAUCAUCGGCGGCGGGAGCGGUGGUGGUGGAAGUGGCGGCGGCGGCGGUGGCGGGUAUGGAGGAGGAGGCGGCGGCGGGACGAGCGGGUGGUACGGCAAGUGCCCGACGGACGCGCUGAAGCUGCACGUGUGCGCCAAUGUGCUGGAUCUGAUCAAGGCGAAGGUGGGCGUGCCUCCGUUGAACGACCGGUGCUGCCCGCUGCUCAACGGGCUCGUCGACCUGGACGCCGCCAUCUGCCUCUGCACCGCCAUCAAGGCCGACGUGCUAGGCAUCCACAUCAACCUCCCCAUCCACCUCAGCCUCAUCCUCAACUUCUGCGGCAAGGGCGUCCCAACCGGCUUCAUGUGCCCUACCUAA
This 672-nucleotide ribosomal RNA is filed under the name Triticum aestivum (bread wheat). Its description in RNAcentral is "partial small subunit ribosomal RNA". The record is from RNAcentral. Lineage: Eukaryota; Viridiplantae; Streptophyta; Magnoliopsida; Poales; Poaceae.